UCCCUGGUGGCUCAGGUGGUAAAGCAUCUGCCUGCGAUGCAGGGGACCCGGGUUUGAUCCCGGGUGGAGAA
RNAcentral lists this transfer RNA (71 nucleotides) under Bos taurus (domestic cattle). It matches the Rfam family "tRNA". From Rfam's summary of the family: Transfer RNA (tRNA) molecules are approximately 80 nucleotides in length. Their secondary structure includes four short double-helical elements and three loops (D, anti-codon, and T loops). RNAcentral also lists the same sequence under 4 other names. Lineage: Eukaryota; Metazoa; Chordata; Mammalia; Artiodactyla; Bovidae. The record is from Rfam by way of RNAcentral.